GACGAACGUUGGCGGCGUGCUUAAUACAUGCCAGUCAACUGAAGCAGUGGUAGCAAUAUCGCUGUGGAGGUGGCGCACGGGUGAGUAACACGUAGGUAAUCUGCCUUCAGGUCUGGCAUAACUCCGGGAAACCGGGGCUAAUAGCAGAUGAUGCAGCGGCUCGACAUCGAGACAGUUGUUAAAGCUAUGGCGCCUGAAGAUGAGCCUGCGUCUGAUUAGCUAGUUGGCGGGGUAACGGCCCACCAAGGCAACGAUCAGUAGCUGGUCUGAGAGGAUGAUCAGCCACAAUGGAACCGAGACACGGUCCAGACUCCUACGGGAGGCAGCAGUAAGGAAUAUUGCUCAAUGGGAGAAAUCCUGAAGCAGCAACGCCGCGUGAGGGACGAAGGGCUUUUGCUUGUAAACCUCUGUAGUGAGAGAAAAAAAUCCCCAUCUUUGGGACAUGAUGGUAUCUUAAAAGUAAGCCCCGGCUAACUACGUG
This 481-nucleotide ribosomal RNA is filed under the name uncultured bacterium. RNAcentral describes it as "partial 16S ribosomal RNA". It matches the Rfam family "Bacterial small subunit ribosomal RNA", at positions 28 to 507 of the family's 1533-position model. The record is from RNAcentral.